RNAcentral lists this transfer RNA (68 nucleotides) under Streptomyces cacaoi. RNAcentral's name for it is "tRNA-Thr". Lineage: Bacteria; Bacillati; Actinomycetota; Actinomycetes; Kitasatosporales; Streptomycetaceae. The record is from RNAcentral.
GCCGCGGUGGGCGUCGGGACGCUGCUGGUGGUGGCGGUGUGGCCGCGGUUGCGGGCCGCGGCGCGGCU